Non-coding RNA from Xyrichtys novacula (pearly razorfish), 12935 nucleotides. The record is from the annotation of a GenBank genome assembly. Lineage: Eukaryota; Metazoa; Chordata; Actinopteri; Labriformes; Labridae.
CAUCUUCAGAGCAGCUCGGUUCGGUCUGCCAAAGGAUGUUGUGGUAGGAUUAUGAGGAUUAUGAGGAAACUGACAGCCCGGUAAACUCACACUGGUUCGCAGUCGUACUCGCGGCCAAUGUUAGUGGAUUGGUUUGAAGGUGUAUGUUUUCCAUUUCCCUCCUAAAACCUUUCAUUUUUAUCCGGAGAGGGACAUAAGCCAAAUAAACACAGUAUUUCCAAUUCUUCACCAUAAUUCCUCAUGUUACUGUCGCUUUAUGUGAUGAGCAAACACCUUUUGCUCUCACUGUCUUCUUAGCUAAAAGAAAAACACAAUCAAGUCCAGAAAACUGGUUUGUUGUUCGGUCCAUGUCAUCUUGGCUUGUCAGUCAAAUGUCAUCCGGUUGUCAAGUAAACAAAAACAUCAACUCUUCAGAGUGACACAUGGACGUUGUGGUAGGAAAAGAAAAUAAAGGAUGUUGUAGAUCUGGAUACAGCAGAAUAAGUGUCGACGCUCUUUUUUAGCAGCUUCCACAUUUUACCUAACUGAAAAACUGAACAUUUGUCUAAGCUGACCUUUUUUAGUCGGCUGUUUUUAUGCCUUAAAUUAACUCAAUUAACCGAGGAGGGAGUAGGUUUUUCAGUCUAUGGUGACAAUUUUCCUCCAUUUUUUGUUGUGGUACAAAAAGCUGUUGCCUGCAGAAAUAUCUCUCAAAAAAUAUAUGCUUACUUAAAGAAAAUUAAACCCUUUAAAUCUUAUGACACAGUAUUAAAAGGGUGUCCAUGUGAUAAGACUUUUCCUGUUAUCCACAUUUUUAGUUUCUACCAUAGACUGUAUAUACUAUGGACAACUUAGCUCCGCCUUCCGUCAUUAUACGAAUUUGAGGCUGAAUUGCUCUCUGUAUUUCCGGGAUUUUCUCCACCACUUGCGCAGAAGCGUUGUACGUAUUUGGCAGGAGAGUCCCUGUGAUGACACUCUGCUCAAACAGGUGACCUACGCAAUCUUUGUGCGCCCAUAGGCUGUAUCAAGUAUCAAUCAUAGAAAACAUGAACCCCCUAAUAACUUUUAAAAAUGGAGCUGCACAGAAAAAAGAGGACUUGAGCACAAACCAGUCUGACAGUAACUACAUUUCAACAUCCCAAGCAGGGGGGAGAAAAAUUUAUACUCUGAGUAAUUCAUUUCUAAAGUUUGUCCACAGCUCCAUAGGGAUUGCUGGAGGAGGCGGGAUUUAUGACCCAUACUGCAUCCCGUCACCAGAGGGUGCUGUUCUCGCAGUGGCUUCACAACAUCCAUUCUAUAUACAGUCUAUGGUUUCUACCUUCCCUUUGGUAUCCUCCACUUGCCCUUAAGCAGGUGUCCUUCAGUAUUUGACACAUCCAGUUCCUCUGAUUGCUGCCAGAGGGAAUCUUAUUUUGCUGUUUUUGUUGUCUGAAAAUAGCUGCUUGUAGAGCCUUAAGUGUCAGUAAUGUGUAAGUCUUGUAUGACUCAUGAAGAUAUCCAAAUAGGUCACGCCGAGACUCUAAAAUUAGAUGACCAAGGACUAUGAGAGGGAUGGUCAUCCACUCUACCAUCACGCUUUUCAUAUUUUUCCAUCUUAAAGAUUUUAGUGGAUGGCGUUUCCUCCAAUGACGUGUGCCAUUUCUUCUAACUUAAAGGGAUAUUCUAGCGUAAAUUUAAGUUAUGGUCAAACACACGGUAACACCGAUUUAGACACCCCCUCCAGAGAUGAAUGUUGCCGACUGCUUGCUUCUUUAGUUAUACCAACUUCAGUAAUGAUCACUCAUUAGCAAAACACAGUGGUCUGAGGAAGUGAGGAAGAAACAGGACAAGAGUCAAAGGAUUUAUGAGUUUUCUAAAAUCAGGUCUGUAUCAGCAAAGAUGUCCAGAAGAUUUCCUGUUUCUACAGACAUCCUAAUUCUAAAUUCGGACUUUUAAAGGUGAAUUGAAGCAGGUGAACAAAACAAAAGCAUUUCAAUUAUCACCCUCAAAGAUUGCGUACAUUCAAAAGUUUCCAGCCCUCUCAAAAAAAAAAUCCCGCUGAGAAAGUUUUUAAAAUUCCAUCAGCCAAUUUUGGAGGAUUUAUUUUGGAGCCAGUUUUAGCUUAGGCACUUAUUUUGGCUGAUAAAUAUUCAGUGAGUGAUGUAAUUUUUGCAUUUUCUUCACGCUGCUGCAAGUUCAGUCUGAGACUGUGAUUACACAGGUCUGUGUUUGCUUAGGCGAGACAGUUUGCAGUAAAGCUUUUCCGGCUAAAAACCAUUAAACUUACCCUUUGGAGUCAAGACACAGUUGCUUUUUUCUCCCCCUUUGCACCUGCACCAAAGAACAUGCACUGUGUUGGAGUACUUUAAUGAAAUAAUUGCUGUGAAAUUAGCUGCUGAUAUAUGCAAAUGCUAAGAGAAGAGUGUGCUGAUGUUCUGAGCUGCAGCCUGCAGGAUUUGCAUCAUGCAUUCAGUUCUAACACUUUAUGGUUUAUGGAUUUACUCUGCUCUUUUGGAAAAAAAAUAUAUAUUCAUAUAUUUUAGUCUUUUGGGAGUGAGCUGCACAACAACAACAGAAUCAAAAUGAAACAAUGUUCAGCAGAAAAAUAAGCAGAUUACCUUAAUUACUGUGGUAUAAGGCAAUGCCCUUUUUCUAAUGCAUUUUUUAAGAGAAGACAUGGCAUCAAGAAUUAUCUUAAUCUUACACGGAUUUAAUGGGAUUAUUGAAUCUUGAUUACUAAAAUGUAUCCAGGUGCUUUUUUUUUAAUGUUGUACUUCAUACUUCCUCUUAAGAUUCAUCCAAACAAUCACAAUUUAAAUCAACCGCUGCCCUCAUGCCUGCAAUUGUCAUGAAACAAAGCACAGACAGGAGGAAACAACAGCAAGAUAAGGGAUCAGUUUAACCAACAGACGGGGUUUAUUAGAACUAGGACUGGGCGGUUUGGCAAAAAAUUAAAUAAAAAAUGAUCACGAUAUUUUUUGUCAUAUCAUCUGAUCUCGAUAAUUAUCACAGUUUUUCAUGUAUUUUUUGAAACUGCCAGUUUUAAAGCAUCUGUACUAAAAACUAAAGAAACUAGAGAUUAAUAACAUUUUAUUAUCAAACGGAAGUAAACAAAAUAAUAUAAACAGAAAAAAAAAAACAUCUUUACAACAAUACAACAAAAGUAGAUGAAUAUACAAUACAGUAAUACAGUGAACUACUUUAAAGUCCUGAGUGUUUUUGCAGAUAUGAAAGACCCAAAAUAAACAAAUCGUCCUCUCAGGGAUAAUGAAGACACCUUAAAAUGUAAACAUUAGAUGAUGUAAAUGUAGAUGAUACGAUUGAUUGCUUUAGUCUGGUGGCUGCACCGCUAGUUGUGGCUAAACUGCUAAUGCUAGUUGUGCCGUCAGCGGUGACAGGCUGUACAGACUCCGCUGGCAUUUUCAUACUGUCCACGUAAUCACUCGGGAAGAACUUCUUCAAAUGAUUAAACAGAUUUGUUGUGCUGCCGGUUUUAGAGGGCACCGACACACCUUUGCACAUCAGCUUCAUUACACUUUGGAGAUACCCGAACCACCGCCACACAACCGACGUUGAAUAACUUUUCUUCUCAACAAUGGCACCUUUGGAGGAUGACUCAAAGUCACGAUUGACAUCUGUUUUGCGUCCCUCAGCUCCGUGUUUAGCUCCACGUUCAGUCACUCUGUUUACUUGUCCAGCAACUUGUAGAAGUGAGCAGGAAUAGAUCAACUCUGGCUGUUGUGACGCACAUUUCUGCGAUGUUUGAUCGAGUAAUUAUACUCACAGCUGAUCAUCGUGAUCAAACUGAAAUUUAUCACGAUCAUAUAAUCGCCCAGUCCAAAUUGAAACAUAAGCAGAGAUCGGUUCACAAAAAGGCAGUCAGAUCAGGCAGAGGUAUCCAAAAAUGUGAGGCAAAAAGGCAAGGUCCAAAAAGACAGGAAGAGGUAAACAACGGCUAAACUAUGACUGUGAAUAAUACUGGAACGAGACACAAGGUACAACAAACUGGCGACAAGACAGUGUGACACACAAGGUUAAAUAUAAGAGGUAAUGAAGGUGAUGGGAAACAGGUGGGGGACACAAUCAGACGGCAGGUGUGACGAGACAGGGGCAGGCCAGACCAGACAGGAAGAAAUAUAGGAGACAGAAACAAGAAUUAGAGAUCUACAAAAUAAAACAGGAAAUGCAAGACAUGAACAAAACAUGAAUGUGCAGAAAUAAAGGAAACGUAGCCAAUAAAUUAAUGUGAAUAAAAGGAAACUUAACAGACAUGACAGCAAUAUUACAACAAACUAAUCCUUCCCCUUGACCAAACUCACCCCAAAAACCACACCUUUUCCCCACCUUAAUAGUGACAGUGUAUUCUGGGACAUAACUCAUUAUAAUCUCAGUCAAGAGAAGCAUGAGUGACAGUGGUUUGCUCAGUGUUAAAUGAAUCAAAUAAGCAUUAAUGUGAUGCUGAACAAAACUGGUUAUUCAACUUAUUUAUUAUGGUGCUCGUAUUUGACGCUGGAUUUCAUCUAGCGUUCUGCCAGUUUGCCCAACAGCAACGCGGAGGAUCUGGAUAAAUGUGAUGUGAACAGGACCUCUGAUUAGCACUGCUGAAGGACCCCAGGGUGCCGAGGGUGAUCAGGAUUCGAGGUGAAUUGAAGUGGUGUUGGGUCACGUUAAUUUGACUGAAAUGACAACUGACAGCAGCAGAGGACGGUUUGGAACUGUAAGAAGACGACAGGCUCAUGGAGGCCAUGGCUAAAUGUGAUUGAAGAGUGAAAACACUGAGAAACCAGCUGAUGAGAGAGGGGAGCAAAAAUGAUUUAACUUUAACUAAAUGACCUCAUUAUGUCUGAGGUCAAUUAAUCUCUCUGUCCAAUGGUGAUCAUCGUGGUCUGGUCAUGUUUUAGACAAUUAGAUUUACAAGAAUUUCCCUUGAAGUUGUAUCAUGAAUUUUUCUUUCCUUAUUUGCAUCUUUUAUACUCUUCUUUUGCGAUUAGAUACACACCACUUAAUAGCAUGUAUAGCUUAUUUUUGCACCACACCACCACCGUCAUUUUUAAUUUCAGACUUCAAAGUGGAACACCAAUAAUUCAUGUGUCAUCUCCAUAAAUUGUUUCAUUCAUAUAUUCACUGCGUCUCUUUGGUUAUGUACGAUUUUCUAUCUCUUAGAAAUGCAAAUAGAUAAAGAGUUUUUCUUCAUCAAGCUUUCAGAGCGGGAAUUGGAGUUAGUAAAAAGAGUUAUUUCAGAGCGUGAGGGGGGAAGGUUCCUGAAACUGCUCAGUGGACCUUUCCCCCUCAUUUAUUCACUCUUUUGGUAUAACAUCAAAACAUAUAAAGCAUACAGACCACUGAACUGGGACAUACUUUCUAGGAUUUAGAAAAUAAAUAAACAUAAAAAGUGAUCAAAUAAAGUGGCAUACCAGUUAAAGGCUAAACCCUCUCCGAUGAAAACCAUGUUUUUCUUGUUGUCUACAUGUUCAUAUGGCAUUUUUCUGACGCUACAGGACAUAUCAUGAGAAGAGUAAGUGUGAAAUUGCAUUUCUGAGUAUUUCUGCAUUCAAAUCCCUCUGAAUCUCUGGCAGACCCAAACAGCAGGUUCAGAUACUGUCAUGACCUGGCUCAGGUGGUCACAACAAAAUGAAGAAGGAAGACACACACCAUGUAUAAACUCCCAAACAACUCAUUAAUUCAAAUUAAACUGAAUUAGAAUGUAAGAUAUGAGGCGUGUAAAUCAGUUAAAAUCAGUAUUGUGUAAGGCGUGCAUGGAUGGAAGUAGGUGUAUGUGUGCGAGGGUGUUGUAAUGAGCAAACAUAAACUACAACUCAACCAAGCCAAACCGAACCAAACCAACCAAAGUCAAGUCGAAUAAAGCCAAACCAAACCAAACCAACCAAAACAAAACAAAGCCAAAUAAAGCCAAACUAAGUCAAGACAAGCCAAACCAAACCAAGUCAAACAAAGUCAAACCAAACCAAACCAAACUAAGUCAAGACAAGUUAAGCCACACCAAGCCAAACCAAACCAAGUCAAACAAAGUCAAACCAAGUCAAACAAAGCCAAGCCAAACCAAACCAAGUACCUGUAAAGGCAGUCAGGAGAAACGAAAGAGGGAAUUGCAAGUAACUGUGGGCGCACCCAGGGCCCAGGUGUGCAUAGUUACUCCAAUUAGGGUGCAGCGAGAAGCCAACCAGACACACCUCCCACAGCAGCAUAUAGGGGCAUCACAGAUACAGUGAGAUUUCUUACAUCACAAAUCCAAGCUCCGCCCUCAGAGCCCCGCUACGCAGGCCACUCUCAGAAAAGUAUAGGACGAUCACGGAACAAGCUCUGACUUGUAGACUUUCAGACAUUAGUGUCCGAGAGCUGAAUAGCUCCUAUGUUACCUGCCACUUCUAAUACACCAGCAAUGUUAGGCUACAAGCUAGCAUGAAGAGGAGUGUGCAAAGCAGAGCUGUCUCCACCCACGACUCAGAAGCGAAUUGUUAAUGAGCUACUGGAGCUCUGCAGAAGAAAAGUCCUUAAAAAUGACACAGGAAAUGUGAUUUUGGCUAAAAAUGUCAAAAUCACAGUUUAAAGACCACUGAGAACAUUUCAAGAAGUAAAUAAAAUAAAACGAUCAGAGUGGGACUUUAAGCUGAAAGAAAAUUAACUUUGACAGCAACAAACAGAAUUUAGUGCAGCUAGUUUUUGUACAUUUUCAAGCAAAGAAUCUUGAAUAACAAUAAUAACUUGAAUAAGAAACUUCUGGGAGGUCAAAGAAAGUACACUGAACACCUGACAAAAAUGGUAUGGAUAGAUCUAUUAGGCUUUCAGUGACUGACAGCUUAAACCCUUUCCUUUAAAAGAUUUGCCAAAGCUUUAGUUUCCAGACGCUCAGAUUAUUUUUUAUCUGUCGUUUUUACCUUUUUUUGUUGUUGUUGUUGAAUAGAUUCAUCCACAGCAUAGUAAUAAAACGCCACCUUUAUUGAGAAUUAUAAGAAGAAUUUUUGUUGUUAGUUUUUUGACAUCAUAAGUAUUUUCAGAAUAUGAUAAAUGAGAAAAAGAUCCCAAGAAAAUGAUCCGAAAUUAUCUAUUGCCUUCCUACAUUUUAUUGUAUAGACUAAUGUCCAAUAAUAAUAAGAAUUCAGUAUAAACAUGAUUACAAUCAGACACAUUACAAUACAAGUAACCCUGUAACUGAUCUGUUUUCUUUUGUUAAAUUCAGGUUUAACCUCUUUAUGACAAUAUUAACUGUAUCUGAACUGGUUGGGGGCCAUUGAGGCUUCAGCAGGCAGGGGUCAAGGCACGCUGAGACUGACGCUUACAGGCCUGAUCCAUCCACUAAGGUCAGUUUCUUUAAUCACUACACCACCCUGCUGCUCCAACCAAAGGAACAAACGCAUACUUAUAGGAACUGUAUGUCUACACUGUAUUUUUUGGGCCAUUAUCGCACUUAUGAAUCUCCUAACCCUAACCCUUAGCCGACAGACGAUGAAGUUUCACAGCCAUUAGAAAUAACCAAUCGGUGCCGAGCACUUCUAGCCAAUCAGAGGCAAGGGAGGGCGGGACCUUCCCCUACCACCCUACAAAGAAAAAUUUCGCUGCCCGGAUCCCUCUCUUCAUUAUCCGAGUCAGUCUUGUUGCUGUUACCAAUACUUGGCUGUUCAGUGAUUAUUCCAGCUUUCGUCAUAGCUCAGACGACAGUUACCGUAAUGCUCCAAAUAUCUAUUGAGCGGAGCGACUCUGUUGCUUACCGAAGUCGUACUUACACAUUUCAAAAUAUUUUUGAGCACAAGUAAUCAUAUAUGAGGCACGCUUGAUUAUGAGGCGCACCGUCAAAUUUUUUUAGAAAAUUUAAGGAUUUCAAGUGUACCUUAUAGUCCAAAAUACACGGUAUGUGCUGUGUUUGUCUGCUCCAAUGGUGGAUUUGAAUGUCUACAGAGCAGAAUUAAAAACAGAGCUGUGUAUGAAUGGCUGGUCAUAAACUCAUUAGGUGGUCUGCUGUGAUUUACAUAAGAGAAAUUCAUCAAUUAUUAUAACAGGGUACAAAAAGUAAACAGGGAAAACAAAUUGUGUUUUUAACACACACACACACACACACACUCAUGCGGGAUUGACUAAAUGGGAAAGUCAAAGUGUUUGCAGGUUUAAUGUAGCUCACUUCCCCGCACAGUGCAGAAUAUUCCUCUAUGAGUUUAUGAUUAAUGUUCACAGUGUGCUCGCAGUCUGCUUCCUCUGUCACAUAUUACAAAUGGGCCAUAAGAGAUCUCAGAUAUAUCUAUAAAGCAUCAUAAAUGAUGAUGCUGCCUCCAGGGGAAAGUGUUUCUCUCUCUAUAUUCAUAAGCCACUGUUUGCCUGCUGCUGUAAAUUUAACAGGGCAUUAUUUGAUUAUGAAAAUCCCCAAUAAAUGACAGUUUAUGUCUCAUAUUCUGCGCUAUACUGCGAGAGUCGCAGAAAAACUGUGCAGAAGUGAGAACCAAGCCGCCGUGAAGCAGGAGGAGAAAAGUUUGUGUAUGAAUCAGUAAAAACCUGUGAGAUGUUUACUAGAAACACUGCGAGUAAUUUGAAUAAUUCAUUGAAUAAAGGUGUUUCAUAGCAGGGAUUUCAACUUCAUUUUCAGUCAUAAAUAUGCAUAACUUCGAUUCUUCACAGCCUCCAAACAGAUGAGUAAUAAAAAUAUUUCCCCUAACUUAGCAUAGUACUCUAUCUACUGUCUUUAUUGCUCUAAUGGCCGAUAUGAAUAUUUAGAGAGAUGAAUGAAAAACCGAACUGUGAGUUACUGGUUAAAGUUUAAAGCACAUUAGGUGGUCUGUUGGUAAUUUACAUGUAAGAGAUUCAUCCAUUAUAAUAAUGAGAAACAAAGGGAAAAUAAUGGAAAUAAAUUGGACUAUAAGUGCAUGCACAAAUGAUUGAGUUUACAGUGUGUGCGGAUGAAGCUAUUAAAACCAGAACAAGUUCAUGUUGUAGGCUGUAACCAUGUCUAUUUCUGUGGUAAAAACGGGCAUUUUAUCAUGGGUGUUAACCUUAGUUUUUGCAGUCGGUCUCAUGUGGACACGAGGAAACUGCAGUUGUUUGUACUUUUACAUUGGCUCCAUUUUUCACUUGGAGACUCCUGUGGUUUGUGUUGAUCUUUUUUUGCUGAUUUUGUCGUGUGCAUGUGUGCAUAUAUGAAGCACUCAUGAAGAAUAUCUGUCAUUGGAAAUGUAAAAAACGGUUUAUCACUUAGCCUGUCUCCUUCCCUUUGCAGUGAUUUUUAAGUCGUAAAAAUAACCCUGUUGGAGUAAUCAGUCUUUAAGCUGAAAGUCUUGUUCACUUUUAAAGCUCAUGGAAAGGUGUCAGUAUUUAUUUCAGUCUGUUACAUAACCAGCUAAAAACUCCUCAGAUAUUUGAAUCAAAUUUGAGGAGUAGAAGUUUAAUGUGAAGAUUUAUGUUUCUGAGCUUUUUUCAUUGCUAAGUCCACUUGACUCCUCCUUGACAGGUGUAAAAUAGAAAUAAAUAGAUAAAAACAGAGUUGAAUAUAAACCCCUGUCGGCUGCUUUAUCUUGGAAAAAAGAAGUAAUGCUAACUUGCAAGCUAGAUAAUCUUGAAUACCGCUGAAUGGUUUGUGGUUUCUACCAGGAAUGUAACGGUAUGAAAAUUCUACAUCACGGUUAUUGUGACCAAAACAAUCAAAUAUUAUCAUGGUGUUUUUAAAGAAUGUAUUCAGAGGCAUUGUUUACAGCAUUUUCGAUGCUUUUAACUAGCACUAAAAAAUGCCUUGUUUUCAUCAUUUCAUCAUAUUUAGACAGGAUUACUGUCUUCAACUAAGCGUUCCCUCGACGUUACGACAAAACCCAAAAUUUGCCCAUACUUCUGACUAAAGUCCUCUUAGAGGGCUGAUGGAUGUCCUCAGUGUUGUCGUCUCCUCCUUCCGCCAUGAUUCCAUUUCAAACUUAACAGAAAGUUCAAACACAAAUUGUAGGCUACACAGUUCGCCUGCGUGGUUACUUCAGGUGACUCGCAUGAAGCUGGGAUAAUUAACACAGGGUUUUCUCAACAUGUAACUGAUCAUGACCAUAGACUGUAUAUAGAAUGGACACCGUCUGCCUCCUCGCUGGGUGAAGCCCCCCUGAGAACAGCACCCUCUGGUGACAGGCUGCAGUAUAGGUCAUAAAUCCCGCCUCCUCCAGCAAUCCCUAUGGAGCUGUGGACAAACUUUAGAAAUUUAUCACACAGAAUAUAAAUUUUUCUCCCCCCUGGUUGUGAUGUUGUUGACAUGUGCUCAGGUCCUCUUUUUUCUGUGUAGCUCCAUUUUUAUAAGUAAUAAGGGGGUUCAUGUUUUCUAUGAUUGACACUUGAUACAGCCUAUGGGUGUACAAAGAUUGUGUAGCUCACCCGGGGGAUACGCUGUUUGAGCCGAGCGUCAUCACAGCGACUCUUGGCGACUCUCCUGCCGAAUGCGUACAAUGCUACUGCGCAAUGUUGGUUUCAGGAUGUGGAGAAAAAAACGCAGAAAUACUGAGAGCGAUUCAGCUUCAAAUUCAUAUAAUGGCAGAAGGCAGAACCAAGUAUAUACAGUAUAUGAUCGUGGCACACCGCCACAGCUAAAUAAAAGCCGCCACACCUUAAAAAUGUGUUUUUUUUUUUACAUGGCUCUACCUCGGACUCGUAUGUAUUAGGAUACCUACGUGUGUCGAGUAUUAGCAUUAGUAAGUUAUCGUUGGCGAUCUCACAGCUAAUUCAUUACUCACAGUAACCGUUAUCAACAUUUUUAUCACAAUUUACCAUUACGCCGUUUACCACUACAUCCCUCGUUUCUUCGUUGUUUGUUUCAUUACAGUUUUAUAAUAAAUUUUUGAUUAUUUUAUUAUUUAUAUUUUUGCCUGUCAAACAGCCUCAGCUCCCAUAUCUGCACACAAACAAACACAUCACCUGCUCUGCUCCAUUCCUCUUCUCCUGAGGUCUACAAACUGCCUGUAUGACUGUUACUUUUUUACCUUUUCCAUCACCACGUCAGGUCUUGCAGCCUCUCUGACCUGAUUUUCCCUCACUUUGUUUUCCUUAUAGAAUACUAAGCAGGGGAUGGGAGCUGAUAUGACAAAGUUAAAUAAAAUGCUCACUUUUACCCCAAGUCUGGAUGUCAGCAUUUUUUCACAGAACUGUCAGAAAAGAAGAGACUAGAGAUUCACAUUCAUCCCGGGAAUAGCAAGUAUUUGAUUGCCGAUGGGGCUUUUGGUUAGUCUGCUGAUAAACCGCACAGACAGCUCGGUGCGAGGCGAUCUGACAUAAUAGGACAAAAUAAUGAAAAUGCCAGCACAGAGAUGGGCACAGUGCAGACACAGUGGUUUGUUAUUGCCCGGUUCGGUUCUUCUGGCAUGACUUUGGGUCUUUAACAGCUCCAAUCAUUUGGUCAGUGCUUUCCACCACUAACACUGAUUUUGAUUGAUCAUCUCUGCCUCACAGCGUGAAAAUAGUGCUGGGGAGAAAAGAUGCCAUUUCAGCAGCCACAGCAAAAUAUCCCACAGCUCAGGGCGGACCAUAUCUGAAAACUGGGAUCCAAACUCAAUCUGCAAACAGAAGUCAUAAGACCAAAAAUACACAGUCUGUUUGAUUCAGCCCUGAAGGGAAUAUUCAAGCUUGUAAUGGACUCAUGCAAAACCAAGAGAUGCUGAUGUUGCUGUAGACGAAAAACAUCACAGUAUGGAGGUGUUAAAAAAAACUAUCACUGUUUAAUUUUGCUAACUCGUUCUAAAAUUUCAUGACACCAAACAUUUUAAGCUGGUUGCUGAUAAUUUAAGUAGCAAUGACGAUAUAAUGACAAAAAAUGGCGCAGCUUGUUUCAUUUGUCUUCAUCGUUGUGUUUCAUUUAGUUCUGAGGCUGGGAGCGCACAAACAAACAUUACAAACCCGCCGUGAGGACACACUGAACCUUUGAGGGAUGACUUUUACACAUCGCAGUCACAAAUGCUGCCUCUUGAAUUAUGAUGACGCUCUGACGGCAGGAUGCAUUUAGAUUGGCGUCGAUUACAGACAUAAACAUGCUUGAUAUGGAAGUGACACUCGUGACUUAUCUCAGGCUCAGAGCAGAGGAGCUGAAUCUGUGAGUCCUUAUGAACACUGACUGUCUUUUCUCUUCGCUGUAUUGAUAGAUGAGAUCACAAACAUUACAUCUUGUAAUAUUAAAGGUGGGGUAGGCAGGAUCUGAUGAAGAGCCAGUUUUUGGAGAAAUCUUGAAUGUAAACUCUACCCCUCCCAACCAGUUUUCCCUGCAGCUCCUCUUCUCUCCUCCCUCUCUGCUCCAGCAAGCCCCGCCCACAAACAGAUGCUCCUGCUCGCUUGUAUUGUUCCAAUUAAAUUCAGAUAUAAUACAGAUAAAUACUUCAGAUAAUUACAAAUGGGGCCCAGUCAAUGUGAAAGUAAAAAGCAUUGGUGCUACUGUAGAUGCCAACAGACUACCAGCAAACACAAUGUUUGCAGGACUUCUACAACUAGGAUAAAGUGACAUAGUCCAGGACCCGAGGUCAACAGUUUAGCGGCGCUACAACACGCUACAGCAGGUCCCGUUUGACAAGAAGCACUUCUGUUACAGACACUUGGCUUACUUUGUUAAAGCGGUUUACCUGUCCAGCAGAAAGGUUACAGGGUCCGUAAGAUCCCGAAGCGUCCCCCAUCAUUGUUGACUCGGCUUCUUAACUCUUGUCCGGUCUACCUCCUUUCGCCCGUUAUUCCACCAGUCUCCGGUAUUUACUUUGUUUUUUUGCUUGUGUCGGCAGUCGUGGCCAAAGGAGGAUUCAGACAAUUUUCUGUACAUUCUGGUUUAUUUCUACUGUCUGAUAUUGUAGCACGUUAUUCAAGGACGUGAAGCGUGCCUCACAACACGAGGGAGCAGUGUCGUCCAAUCAGGUUGGGGGAGGUGGAGAAUGGCUUUGUUUACAGUCAGAAGAGCCAGCUGCUCAAAAAAUGUUAAAAUGUUGACUACACAGACAUAACAGAACAAAGCAAUAUCAUGAUUUUCCCAAAUGUCA